UACGUAGGGGGCAAGCGUUGUCCGGAAUCAUUGGGCGUAAAGCGCGUGUAGGCGGCUAGGUAAGUCUGCUCUGAAAGCCCGGGGCUCAACCCCGGGAGGCGGGUGGAUACUGUCUAGCUCGAGUCCGGAAGAGGAGUGUGGAAUUCCUGGUGUAGCGGUGAAAUGCGUAGAGAUCAGCAGGAACACCCGUGGCGAAGGCGGCCCCCUGGGCCGUACCUGACGCUGAGGCGCGAAGGCUAGGGGAGCGAACGGG
This 253-nucleotide ribosomal RNA is filed under the name uncultured bacterium. RNAcentral describes it as "partial 16S ribosomal RNA". It matches the Rfam family "Bacterial small subunit ribosomal RNA", at positions 524 to 776 of the family's 1533-position model. The record is from RNAcentral.